ACUCCUACGGGAGGCAGCAGUGGGGAAUAUUGCACAAUGGGCGCAAGCCUGAUGCAGCGACGCCGCGUGAGGGAUGACGGCCUUCGGGUUGUAAACCUCUUUCAGUACAGACGAAGCGUAAGUGACGGUAUGUACAGAAGAAGCACCGGCCAACUACGUGCCAGCAGCCGCGGUAAUACGUAGGGUGCGAGCGUUGUCCGGAAUUACUGGGCGUAAAGAGCUCGUAGGUGGUUUGUCGCGUUGUUCGUGAAAACCUGAGGCUUAACCUUGGGCGUGCGGGCGAUACGGGCAGACUGGAGUACUGCAGGGGAGACUGGAAUUCCUGGUGUAGCGGUGGAAUGCGCAGAUAUCAGGAGGAACACCGGUGGCGAAGGCGGGUCUCUGGGCAGUAACUGACGCUGAGGAGCGAAAGCGUGGGGGAGCGAACAGGAUUAGAUACCCUGUAGGUCAGUC
Molecule: ribosomal RNA, 453 nt
Filed under: uncultured bacterium
Lineage: Bacteria
Description: bacterial SSU rRNA
Rfam family: Bacterial small subunit ribosomal RNA
Source: RNAcentral